RNAcentral lists this ribosomal RNA (434 nucleotides) under uncultured bacterium. RNAcentral's name for it is "partial 16S ribosomal RNA". It matches the Rfam family "Bacterial small subunit ribosomal RNA", at positions 29 to 507 of the family's 1533-position model. The record is from RNAcentral.
AGCGAACGCUGGCGGCAGGCCUAACAUAUGCAAGUCGAACGAACCUUUCGGGGUUAGUGGCGGACGGGUGAGUAACACGUGGGAACGUGCCUUUAGGUUCGGAAUAACUCAGGGAAACUUGUGCUAAUACCGAAUGUGCCCUUCGGGGGAAAGAUUUAUCGCCUUUAGAGCGGCCCGCGUCUGAUUAGCUAGUUGGUUGAGGUAAUGGCUCACCAAGGCGACGAUCAGUAGCUGGUCUGAGAGGAUGAUCAGCCACAUUGGGACUGAGACACGGCCCAAACUCCUACGGGAGGCAGCAGUGGGGAAUCUUGCGCAAUGGGCGAAAGCCUGACGCAGCCAUGCCGCGUGAAUGAUGAAGGUCUUAGGAUUGUAAAAUUCUUUCACCGGGGACGAUAAUGACGGUACCCGGAGAAGAAGCCCCGGCUAACUUCGUG